Molecule: unclassified non-coding RNA, 257 nt
Filed under: uncultured fungus
Lineage: Eukaryota; Fungi
Description: partial contains 5.8S ribosomal RNA, internal transcribed spacer 2, and large subunit ribosomal RNA
Source: RNAcentral
AACGCACAUUGCACCCCUUGGUAUUCCGGGGGGUACGCCUGUUCGAGCGCCAUCACACACCCCAAGCUCUGCUUGAUGUUGGACGAUGCCUUGGCCCUUCUGGGCUGGGGCACGUCUGGAACCCGUGGGCGCCCCCGCCGAACCACGAGCGUAGCAAGACGCAAGUCACUCGCUUCUGUCGGUCUCGGUGGAGGGUCUGCCUCAAUCCAUUUCUGAAGAUUGGCCUCGGAUCAGGUGGGGAUACCCGCUGAACUUAA